GACGAACGCUGGCGGCGUGCUUAACACAUGCAAGUCGAACGGAAAGGCCUGCUUUCCCUUGUGGAUUGCGGGUACUCGAGUGGCGAACGGGUGAGUAACACGUGAGUGAUCUGCCCCCAACUUGGGUAUAAGCCCGGGAAACUGGGUCUAAUUCCCGAUAGGACUGCAGGGUGGUGCCUGUGGUGGAAAACGAUUUUCUAGUGGUUGGGGAUGAGCUCGCGGCCUAUCAGCUUGUUGGUGGGGUAAUGGCCUACCAAGGCGGCGACGGGUAGCCGGCCUGAGAGGGUGGACGGCCACAUUGGGACUGAGAUACGGCCCCGACUCCUACGGGAGGCAGCAGUGGGGACUCUUGCACAAUAGGCGGAAGCCUGAAGCAGCGACGCCGCGUGGGGGAUGACGGCCUUCGGGUUGUAACCUCCUUUCGACCGCGAGGAAGCCACCUGGUUGGAAGGGUGGUGACGGUAGUGGUAGAAGAAGCACCGGCUAACUACGUG
RNAcentral lists this ribosomal RNA (494 nucleotides) under uncultured bacterium. RNAcentral describes it as "partial 16S ribosomal RNA". It matches the Rfam family "Bacterial small subunit ribosomal RNA", at positions 28 to 507 of the family's 1533-position model. The record is from RNAcentral.